GCAGUGGUGGCUCAGGGGUAGAAUUCUUGCCUCCCAUGUAGGAGACCCAGGUUUAAUACCUGGCCAAUCCA
This is a transfer RNA of Loxodonta africana (African savanna elephant), 71 nucleotides long. It matches the Rfam family "tRNA". From Rfam's summary of the family: Transfer RNA (tRNA) molecules are approximately 80 nucleotides in length. Their secondary structure includes four short double-helical elements and three loops (D, anti-codon, and T loops). The record is from Rfam. Lineage: Eukaryota; Metazoa; Chordata; Mammalia; Proboscidea; Elephantidae.